This is a transfer RNA of Coccomyxa subellipsoidea C-169, 74 nucleotides long. It matches the Rfam family "tRNA". Rfam says of the family: Transfer RNA (tRNA) molecules are approximately 80 nucleotides in length. Their secondary structure includes four short double-helical elements and three loops (D, anti-codon, and T loops). The record is from Rfam. Lineage: Eukaryota; Viridiplantae; Chlorophyta; Trebouxiophyceae; Coccomyxaceae.
UCUCGAUUAGCUCAGUUGGCUAGAGCGCACGGCUGUUAACCGUGAGGUCACUGGUUCGAGCCCAGUAUCGAGAG